Molecule: long non-coding RNA, 3488 nt
Organism: Cygnus olor (mute swan)
Lineage: Eukaryota; Metazoa; Chordata; Aves; Anseriformes; Anatidae
Exons: 7
Source: RefSeq, a predicted model, not a curated record
CUAUGAAAAUGAAGUAAGAAACUUUCUCCAGAUUGAUGGCUGCCCUGGGAUCUGCAGCAGCUUACGGAUCCUCGAGAACUGCUGCAUUUUCAGAACUGCCUGGUGUAAGCUAACAUACAUUUGCAGUGCCAGCACUGGUCAGGAUGCUAAGGUAAAAGGAUUUCUAUACAGGAUGGAAGAUGAGAUUACAGAGCAUUUUCUGCAGACAGUCACUUCUAAAGUCAAGGAAACACUGAAGGAUCACUUCAAAAAAUGUGACAGUGGUUUCAACCACAUCCUGAAUCCUUAAAGCAAAGCUUUUUGGCAUUUGGGAAGAAAAAAACAGACAUAUAUGAGGCCCUCGUCAAGUCUGUGAACAUCAUCAUUAUUACAGAAUAUGUGCAAGCCCUCCUGACCACUUCCAGGAAACCAUCUUCUGUGCAGAGGAAGAAGAUUGUCAGCAAGAUAGAAGAAGAUCACAGGACGCUGCAAACCAUCUUUAAAGAGUGCUUAGGUCCCGCAGCUGGUGCCGUCAAGGAUCCCAUAAAAGCAGUUUUAGAACUUAUUCAAACUUCCGAUGCCGAGGGGAUGAAAAUAGCCCUGCUGCCCAUUCUCAAAGAAUUUCCUGACCUAAGGGAAGAACAUCUGAGUGCCGUGUUGGACAUCAAAGACUCGCUCAGCCGAAAAGACAGAGCUGCUCUCUUGAAGGCAUUUCACGAUAAUUGUGGGGAAACAGAAACAGAAACAACCUUGCUUUUUGCAGAUAUAGAAGUAAAACCUAGAAAAUAUGGACUCUGUGGCUGCUUCUGUUGUUAACAAAGGCCCCCUGUGAGAAACACGAGGUUCUCCCUCCCACGUGGCAGCAUCUGCAAUCACAGCUCCUUGAAAGCUUUGGGGACUUGUGCAGCCGGAUGCAUGAAGAUGCCUGGCAGCUAUGGAAGACAGAAUUCCUGCACUUCUGCAGGAAAACCACACAGCCCAAAUCCUACUCUUCUAUGCAAAGUCCAGGUGGAAGAUGAUUGGGGUAUGACAGAAAGACAUUCCUUCAAAAUGGCCUAGAGAUUGCUGCUUAGCUGAGUCCUGGUGGUUAUUCCAGGCUGUGGCACCAUGGUGUGCAGAGGAGGAAAAUUCCUCCCUGCCGAAUUUUCAUUUUCCCUCCCUUGUUUCACACAGUCUUGCAUGUAACGAGGGACUGCUGCACCAUGCAGUGUCCUAGCAGGCUACAUGGCAUUGCAACCUGCCCCAGUGACUCAGGACCCUCUGUCAGGAUGUCCUGCCUAGCCCACGGGAGCAUAGAGCAGCCACGGACAUGGGGCAGGCUGGGGCUGUGGGCUUGGGCACGUGGAUCCAGCCCCCAUAAGCCUGAGGGGGCUUCCCCCUUCCCUUUCUCCAGGCAUGUGAAGGCUGCAAUCUGUUCUGGGGACAUCCUGCCUGGGGGAAAUGCGGCCUUUCUCUUCUCACACCAAGGUUGCAAGCCCCAAGAGUAGGAGCAGGGGACAGCACUUGGCCUCGUGUUGUCUCUUGUCAGGCUGUAGGACACGUGCAGCCUGCCACGGCUCAUGGCAGCCUCCCUGCUGUGCCGGCUGUGGGAUGGGGAGCUCAUCUCAUAUGAGUUUCACAGCUGGCUCUGGAGCAGAGUUUUGCAUUCAUUUUUAUACCUCAGUUUCUGGAAAUUUCCUCUUGCUGUGGAAAGCAGCUCCUUUGGAGAGGGAGUAGAAAGCUUCAUGGGAAGUGGGCAGUGAAAGGAGUUGUUUGUCCCAGCCUCUGGGCAAGGUCUGUGCUGUUUUCAGAUGUAAAUAGGCAGUUCCUCUGGGGAAAACACUAAGUUUUCUUUCUAGUUAUCUAUGGGCUGGCCACAACCUCCGAGCUGGAUUUGGUUCAAGGCCCUCCUUUGCUAUUGUGUUAAUUUAGGUCAUUACUGUCCUGCUCUUCUCUGGCUGUGUAAACAAGUGAAAAAGCUCUGCUACCUCAGACGUGCUGGUGCUUUUCUGAGCAGCCAUUCCUGUUCCAACAUAGUUUCUCCCCCUCAUCUCUUGGCACCAAAAUGGGCUCUUGCUUAACAAGAAAAGGGGCUAGUUUGUUGCAUAACCUGCAAGCUUGUGAGGCUGGGGAUGUGUCCAGCUUGGGGACUGUGGGUCAGCACAGGCCUGCGUGGGUACCACCACGCUUUGCAGAGCCAUGCCAUGUGAACAGCCCCUUCGGAUGUACCGGCAACGAAGCCCCAUGGGCUGGGGAGUGUUGUGUGUCACGCAGCCUGUGUCUCAUAUGGGGUUCCCGUGGGGCCGUCAGUCAGCUGGCUUUGACGUGCCGCCCUGGGGACGUGCACGUCCCGCACCCCAGGCAGCUCCUCCGCCCAGGGCCUUUACCGCAGACAGGGUCCAUGGCCUGCGAACCUGAGGGAGCAGGAACAGGUUUCUGAUUGUCAUUAGCAUUGCUUCUGGCACAGCGCUGAGCGUGUGAGUCACAGGGACCAGGAACGAACAGGCUGUUUAAUCACCAGGAAGCACCGUGGGCUCUCAGAGCGCGGGGGCACUUGGGCAUUGUGGUAAUCCGUCAUUACAGGCAGGACAAGAGCGUUGGGUAGACGCCCAUGGCCUGCCUGUCCUUCCUGACUGCACAUCUGCUUCUAAGGCCCAACUGAGGCAUCUCUUGUGUUUUAUAACUGCCCUGCAUGUUUCAGUUACACAUUUCCAGGACGUGGAAAGGCUCGGUGAGGCUGGCGAGGAGCUGCAGCCUGGCAGGGUGGGUGCGGGAGGGCUUUGUGGGGCGGUGGGUGCCUGUCACCAUGUGCAGUGCUGCACUCGGAGCGGUGACGGCCCUGUCAGGCACGCCGGGUCAUUCAUCCUCCUGUGCUGCCUAAUUGCACAUUUUUUCAAGGGCAGGAAGUGAUUACAGCCCCAACUUUGUGACAACAGGAUUAGAGUCAGCCUCUGUUUAUUGGAAUUUCAAUCAACGAACCUUCCAGAGGAAAUAAAUAAAAACCCCUCUGACAUUUUGAUCGCGUCUGGUCUAAAAAUACUUCCACCGCAUUUGAAAGAUUCCUGCCACAGACGUUUUGAUUGCUGCAUCCUCAGUUUGACAUUCACAGGCAGCAAAGGGUAUUUCCCGCUGGCUGGCAGGGGCUGGGAGCCCUCGGGGAUGCCUGGCUUUCCACUGGUGACCCGCAGUGAAAUGGCCGAGGACAAGCCCCACGCAGUGGCACCUGUUUCACAGCUGCUGCUGUGCCUGUCCUUGCUGGGUGUGUGGUGACCAGGUGUAAUCUCCUGCUCUGCACGUGUGUGUAGGAUGAACACCCUUUUCCGUGAGGUUUUCUAAUGGCAAAUUUCUCCACCCUGUGUGUGGCAUCAAGUGUCGUGGACAGGGCAAAUAAAGGCUUCAGUUCAGAAAGGCAACCUGGGGCGGGGAGAUUUGUGCACGAGGUCGAGCUCUGGUGGCAUGUGGGAGGUUUUCUUGACCUGGGGCGCUCUCUGGGGAGGGGAUGAGGGGGGCCCAGCAGAUGGUGAGGGAGG